UGAGACGUUCCCCCUCACCAGUGAACUU
RNAcentral lists this non-coding RNA (28 nucleotides) under Homo sapiens (human). Lineage: Eukaryota; Metazoa; Chordata; Mammalia; Primates; Hominidae. The record is from RNAcentral.